Molecule: ribosomal RNA, 465 nt
Filed under: Vreelandella stevensii
Lineage: Bacteria; Pseudomonadati; Pseudomonadota; Gammaproteobacteria; Oceanospirillales; Halomonadaceae
Description: partial 16S ribosomal RNA
Rfam family: Bacterial small subunit ribosomal RNA
Source: RNAcentral
CCUACGGGGGGCAGCAGUGGGGAAUAUUGGACAAUGGGGGCAACCCUGAUCCAGCCAUGCCGCGUGUGUGAAGAAGGCCCUCGGGUUGUAAAGCACUUUCAGUGAGGAAGAACGCCUGGUGGUUAAUACCCAUCAGGAAAGACAUCACUCACAGAAGAAGCACCGGCUAACUCCGUGCCAGCAGCCGCGGUAAUACGGAGGGGGCGAGCGUUAAUCGGAAUUACUGGGCGUAAAGCGCGCGUAGGUGGCUUGAUAAGCCGGUUGUGAAAGCCCCGGGCUCAACCUGGGAACGGCAUCCGGAACUGUCAAGCUAGAGUGCAGGAGAGGAAGGUAGAAUUCCCGGUGUAGCGGUGAAAUGCGUAGAGAUCGGGAGGAAUACCAGUGGCGAAGGCGGCCUUCUGGACUGACACUGACACUGAGGUGCGAAAGCGUGGGUAGCAAACAGGAUUAGAUACCCUAGUAGUC